This 292-nucleotide ribosomal RNA is filed under the name uncultured bacterium. RNAcentral's name for it is "partial 16S ribosomal RNA". The record is from RNAcentral. RNAcentral also lists the same sequence under 1 other name.
GGACUACAGGGGUAUCUAAUCCCGUUUGCUCCCCUGGCCUUCGUGCCUCAGUGUCAGGAACUGUCCAGAGACCCGCCUUCGCCACUGGUCUUCCUUACGAUCUCUACGCAUUUCACUGCUACACCGUAAAUUCCAGUCUCCUCUCCAGUCCUCAAGCACCGCAGUAUCGAAUGCAGUUUCGGAGUUAAGCUCCGAAAUUUCACACCCGACUUACGACGCCACCUACGCACCCUUUACGCCCAAUGAAUCCGAACAACGCUUGAGACCUCUGUAUUACCGCGGCUGCUGGCAC